RNAcentral lists this ribosomal RNA (253 nucleotides) under uncultured bacterium. RNAcentral's name for it is "partial 16S ribosomal RNA". It matches the Rfam family "Bacterial small subunit ribosomal RNA", at positions 524 to 776 of the family's 1533-position model. The record is from RNAcentral.
UACGUAGGGGGCAAGCGUUGUCCGGAAUCAUUGGGCGUAAAGCGCGUGUAGGCGGCCCGGUAAGUCCGCUGUGAAAGUCCAGGGCUCAACCCUGGGAUGCCGGUGGAUACUGUCGGGCUCGAGUCCGGAAGAGGCGAGUGGAAUUCCUGGUGUAGCGGUGAAAUGCGCAGAUAUCAGGAGGAACACCAAUGGCGAAGGCAGCUCGCUGGGACGUGACUGACGCUGAGGCGCGACAGCGUGGGGAGCAAACAGG